RNAcentral lists this ribosomal RNA (529 nucleotides) under Streptomyces sp. 306B01. Its description in RNAcentral is "bacterial SSU rRNA". It matches the Rfam family "Bacterial small subunit ribosomal RNA", at positions 93 to 636 of the family's 1533-position model. Lineage: Bacteria; Bacillati; Actinomycetota; Actinomycetes; Kitasatosporales; Streptomycetaceae. The record is from RNAcentral.
UAGUGGCGAACGGGUGAGUAACACGUGGGCAAUCUGCCCUUCACUCUGGGACAAGCCCUGGAAACGGGGUCUAAUACCGGAUAACACUCUGUCCUGCAUGGGACGGGGUUAAAAGCUCCGGCGGUGAAGGAUGAGCCCGCGGCCUAUCAGCUUGUUGGUGGGGUAAUGGCCUACCAAGGCGACGACGGGUAGCCGGCCUGAGAGGGCGACCGGCCACACUGGGACUGAGACACGGCCCAGACUCCUACGGGAGGCAGCAGUGGGGAAUAUUGCACAAUGGGCGAAAGCCUGAUGCAGCGACGCCGCGUGAGGGAUGACGGCCUUCGGGUUGUAAACCUCUUUCAGCAGGGAAGAAGCGAAAGUGACGGUACCUGCAGAAGAAGCGCCGGCUAACUACGUGCCAGCAGCCGCGGUAAUACGUAGGGCGCAAGCGUUGUCCGGAAUUAUUGGGCGUAAAGAGCUCGUAGGCGGCUUGUCACGUCGGAUGUGAAAGCCCGGGGCUUAACCCCGGGUCUGCAUUCGAUACGGG